RNAcentral lists this ribosomal RNA (428 nucleotides) under uncultured bacterium. RNAcentral describes it as "partial 16S ribosomal RNA". It matches the Rfam family "Bacterial small subunit ribosomal RNA", at positions 354 to 796 of the family's 1533-position model. The record is from RNAcentral.
GUGGGGAAUAUUGGGCAAUGGGCGCAAGCCUGACCCAGCAACGCCGCGUGAAGGAAGAAGGCUUUCGGGUUGUAAACUUCUUUUACCAGGGACGAAACAAAUGACGGUACCUGGUGAAUAAGCCACGGCUAACUACGUGCCAGCAGCCGCGGUAAUACGUAGGUGGCAAGCGUUGUCCGGAUUUACUGGGUGUAAAGGGCGUGUAGGCGGGACUGCAAGUCAGAUGUGAAAUUUCGGGGCUCAACCCCGAAACUGCAUUUGAAACUGUGGUUCUUGAGUAUCGGAGAGGCAGGCGGAAUUCCUAGUGUAGCGGUGAAAUGCGUAGAUAUUAGGAGGAACACCAGUGGCGAAGGCGGCCUGCUGGACGACAACUGACGCUGAGGCGCGAAAGCGUGGGGAGCAAACAGGAUUAGAAACCCUAGUAGUCC